GACCGUGCAAAGGUAGCAUAAUCAUUUGCCUUAUAAUUGAAGGCUAGUAUGAAUGGUUUGACGAGAAUUAAGCUGUCUCUUUUCAAUUAAAUAUAAUUUUAUAUGCAGGUGAAGAAGCCUGCAUCCUAUUGAAAGACAAGAAGACCCUAUCGAGCUUUAAAGAAUUUAUAAGACCUACUAAGUAUUUAUAAACAAAUAGGACUAAUAAAAACUUUGGUUGGGGCGACUGAGGAACAAAUAAAGCUUCCUUUAUACUGUAGAAACUUACUGGUAUUGAUCCAAUAUAUUUGAUUAAAGGAAUUAGUUACCGUAGGGAUAACAGCAUAAUCCCUUUUGAGAGUUCUUAUCGAAAAGGGGGUUUGUGACCUCGAUGUUGGACCAGAAUACCCAGAAGAUGCAGCCGUCUUCAAUGGUUGGUCUGUUCGACCAUUAAAAUUCUACGUGAUCUG
This 449-nucleotide ribosomal RNA is filed under the name Stramonita sp. JBDB-2015. RNAcentral's name for it is "partial 16S ribosomal RNA". It matches the Rfam family "Bacterial large subunit ribosomal RNA", at positions 1944 to 2607 of the family's 2925-position model. Lineage: Eukaryota; Metazoa; Mollusca; Gastropoda; Neogastropoda; Muricidae. The record is from RNAcentral.